Regulatory RNA element from Enterococcus thailandicus, 99 nucleotides. It matches the Rfam family "THF (Tetrahydrofolate) riboswitch aptamer". Rfam says of the family: THF riboswitch presents a pseudoknot that joins P1-P2 and the loop of P3 and two THF binding. The record is from Rfam. Lineage: Bacteria; Bacillati; Bacillota; Bacilli; Lactobacillales; Enterococcaceae.
AACAGAGUAGAGGACAAAGCGUUAAGUGUCAUAAGAGAUGGGAUGUUGCUCUAUGAACGAAGAAUAAGUAUUCGCGGUUUUGCCCUCGCAUUCGCUGCA